UUUGAUCUAUUUACUAAUUAAGUAAAGCAUCUUCCAAAGAAGGGCAUAUUUAAUUUGUUAGAAAUCAAUUGGUAGUCAAGAGAAUUGAAUGGCGUCUAAUCAUUCAAUCAAAUAUCUGAAGCCAAUUAUCCUAGGAUUACUACUAAUCCUAAUGGCAUCAGAUAUUAUGGUUUCAGCAGAGUGGUGCACUUUGAGAGGUUAUGAAUGCAAAGUUGAUAGUGAUUGUUGCGAAGGAUUUGUUUGUUCGUAUAAUAUUGGAGGGAUUGACCCUCCGGCUACGUAUUACUGUUGCUCUACUCAUCUGUGGGGUUGGUGGUACGAUUGCAACCACUAGACCAUAGAGCUGAUUGGAUCGAGCAUAGGCUUGCUCGAUCAACACUGGCUCGAGGCAAAGGAUUAUCAAUCGAGCAUAGGUUGUGUUUGAUUAUAUCGCGAUCUUGCUAGCAUCUCCAUUUGAAUUUAUGUUAUAAGUGAAGUUCUUCAUGUUGUGAUUUUUUUACUUUCUUUGUAUUAUUGGCAUUAGUAUAUAUAUGCCAAUGCUUUUGUCAUGAACUCAUGAUACAUGAAUGUUGUUUGGAAUAAUAUUGGAGGUGAUUUAUUGAAA
Chenopodium quinoa (quinoa) is the source of this 604-nucleotide long non-coding RNA. RefSeq lists it as uncharacterized. The record is from RefSeq and is a predicted model, not a curated record. NCBI's taxonomy places the organism in Eukaryota, Viridiplantae, Streptophyta, Magnoliopsida, Caryophyllales, Amaranthaceae. The transcript is spliced from 2 exons.